Molecule: long non-coding RNA, 1002 nt
Filed under: Anas platyrhynchos (mallard)
Lineage: Eukaryota; Metazoa; Chordata; Aves; Anseriformes; Anatidae
Description: lncRNA (ENSAPLG00020015315.1)
Source: RNAcentral
AUGAGGUGUGGGGGGAGCCUGGUGCAGCCCUGCCCCAUCUGCUCAGCACCCCCUGCCCCUGGCCAGGACCACGCAGCUGGGGCAGGAUUCUGCAGGGCUGCGGGUGGGCUCUGUCCCUCCGUGUCACAUCCCCUGGUGGCAUCGGGGAGCAGGCUCCAUCCCCUCCAUGCAAGGCAGAGGGACCAUGUCCUGUGUACCUUGUCCCUUCCAUCCCACCAACAGCCUCAGCUCCCCCCUGUCUCCGUGCUGCCCCCCAGCUGCAGCCCCCCCGUGCCCCCCAGCCCCCAGUGUCGCUGUGUGCGUGUCCCGGUGUCGGUGUUGGAGUGCCCGUGGUGUCCGUGGCGUGCCGUCGGUGUGAACACGAAACAAAGCAACCCCCGUGGUGUGUGCAAACGGCCGUACCCCGGCUGCUGUGAGAUAACCCCAGCUCCCCUCCUGCCCCCUGAGCCGGGGGGAGCGCCUGCUGCUGCAGGAAGGGGACGGGCGUGUUGGCUGCCGUCAGUCGGGGGGGCGAGGAAUAAAACUUGGUUUCUACCCGUGCCUGGCUGCGUGGUCUGCAGGGGGGGGAACGGGGCAGCUCUGGGGUGCGAGGGGCUGGGAAAUGGGGCGCAGGGGGGUGGCGCUUGGGUUUCCUGCGGGUUUGGGCCAGCAGCCACAUGGCAGUGUGGGGAGAAGGGCCGGGAGCAGCUCUGCCCGACCCCAUGGGGAAGGAGCCAGGCACGGAGAGCUGGGUCCCUUCCCACGCCGUCCCCCGGUGCCGCCAGCCUGGCUCCGGGGUGGGGGCAGUGGCACCAACCCCCCCUGGGCAGCACAGACGGGGCUUUGUGCUCGGGGCUGUCCUGGCCCCCUCGGUGCCGUGCUCUGUUCUGCAGCCUGCAGCUUGGAACAAUGGCCAGAGGCUGGGCGAAGGCAGCGCGUGAGCAGCGAGCCAGCCCCGAGGGGCGCGGGCACAGAGCGCCCUUGUCCUGCCUGCUGGGCACUUCCCCCCGGGGGGGGCUCUGA